This 253-nucleotide ribosomal RNA is filed under the name uncultured bacterium. RNAcentral describes it as "partial 16S ribosomal RNA". It matches the Rfam family "Bacterial small subunit ribosomal RNA", at positions 524 to 776 of the family's 1533-position model. The record is from RNAcentral.
UACGUAGGGUGCAGGCGUUAAUCGGAAUUACUGGGCGUAAAGCGUGCGCAGGCGGUCUGCUAAGACAGGUGUGAAAUCCCCGGGCUUAACCUGGGAACUGCGCCUGUUACUGGCAGGCUGGAGUGUAGCAGAGGGGGGUGGAAUUCCACGUGUAGCAGUGAAAUGCGUAGAGAUCUGGAGGAACACCGAUGGCGAAGGCAGCCCCCUGGGCUGACACUGACGCUCAUGCACGAAAGCGUGGGGAGCAAACAGG